GCUGCGGGCGGGCUCGACGUACCCUACCGCGGGGUGGUGCUCUGACUGCGGCAACCGUUGAAGGGCUGCCCCCGGGGAGGCAGCAAGGCGCCACCGGUCCCUUAAACAUCUUCUCAAGUAUUUUCUACGCUAAGAGGAAUGACUGCACCAUUUUCCUGAGCUAUGGCAGUCAGACCUGGUAGCACUAACUUCUCUACAGAACCCCCAAACCCUGCAAGAAUGGUUCAGAUUUUGGCAGAUUAUGGCUUCAUCCCCACCCAGAACUGAUGAUAUCAGCAGAGACAGUAAGAGACAUUUCUCCAAAGAAGACAUACAGAUGGCCAACAGACACAUGAAGAGAUGCUCAACAUUACUCAUCAUAACGGAAAUGCAUAUCAGAACUACAAUGAGUUAUCAUCCCACACCUGUCAGAAUGGCUGGAAUCAGAAACAAGAAACAGCAAGUGUCG
Non-coding RNA from Leptonychotes weddellii (Weddell seal), 448 nucleotides. Lineage: Eukaryota; Metazoa; Chordata; Mammalia; Carnivora; Phocidae. The record is from RefSeq and is a predicted model, not a curated record.